RNAcentral lists this non-coding RNA (30 nucleotides) under Homo sapiens (human). The record is from RNAcentral. Lineage: Eukaryota; Metazoa; Chordata; Mammalia; Primates; Hominidae.
GGGAUGAGAGAUGGGUGCAGAGUGUGCUCC